This 69-nucleotide transfer RNA is filed under the name Triticum aestivum (bread wheat). Its description in RNAcentral is "tRNA_LysCTT". The record is from RNAcentral. Lineage: Eukaryota; Viridiplantae; Streptophyta; Magnoliopsida; Poales; Poaceae.
UUUCACCGCGGGGCUUGAACCCACGUCCACAAGGUUAAGAGCCUUAUACUUUACCAACUGAGCAAUGGA